GCUUGCUGCGAGUGUCCCUGCAGUGUCAUUCACAGCGGCCGCAAAGUACAAGCACCCCUUGUGACCACUGGCUGGUGGAUGGAUGCCCGGGAGGUGGCACGUGCACAGCGGGUGGUGUCGGGGUGCCCCUUGCUGCAGGCUGGAGAGACAGGCCGUGCGGCACGAGUCCACGAGCAGCACCUGCACAACAGGGCCCCUGAAGUGCAGCAAAUGGUGUUUCUCCAGAUUCACAACCACCCAAACCUGAGAACGUGAGCUUCCUGGGGAGGAGGCCUGCUACAGACGGAUCACAGUUAGGGAUCUCAAGGCACAUUCCUGCCUCGGGACCUUUGCACCCACAGCCCAGAGCCCUGCGGCGCACUCCCCUACUGCAUUCUAGCAGGUUCCUGUAUCUCUGCUUAGAGAUACCCCCUGCUCCACCCUGUCUACAAAAGCCCACCCCACCCCAGCUCCACACACGUUUGUGAUGGAAAGACGGUGUCGGCCGUCCCCUGGCAAGCCCUGUGAAGUCAGAGAAGCUGUGGAGACCUUCUGGUUCCUUAGGCGAUGGGAUACGCC
RNAcentral lists this long non-coding RNA (558 nucleotides) under Vulpes vulpes (red fox). Its description in RNAcentral is "lncRNA (ENSVVUG00000010748.1)". The record is from RNAcentral. Lineage: Eukaryota; Metazoa; Chordata; Mammalia; Carnivora; Canidae.